GAAUUUUUCUAACCUAUUUGAUCUAGAUGUUCGAGUUGCCCAAUAUGAGCAAUUCCAAAAGAAAAGUAAGGACGAUCGGCUGCAAUGGAGCCGAUAUAAAAAUCAAAGUAAAGGUAAGGAGAAAUCCUCGAUAGAAGAACAGUCGGUUCAAGAACAGCCGAACCAAUCGAAUGAAAGUGAAGAAUCGGCUGAUGAAGCCGAGGUAUAUGCGGCUGGUAA
This 219-nucleotide long non-coding RNA is filed under the name Ananas comosus (pineapple). Its description in RNAcentral is "long non-coding RNA (ACOM_LNC019324)". The record is from RNAcentral. Lineage: Eukaryota; Viridiplantae; Streptophyta; Magnoliopsida; Poales; Bromeliaceae.